GACGAACGCUGGCGGCGUGCUUAACACAUGCAAGUCGAACGAUGAAGCCUAGCUUGCUAGGUGGAUUAGUGGCGAACGGGUGAGUAAUACGUGAGUAACCUACCUUUAACUCUGGGAUAAGCCUGGGAAACUGGGUCUAAUACCGGAUACGACCAAUCUCCGCAUGGGGUGUUGGUGGAAAGCGUUAUGUAGUGGUUAUAGAUGGGCUCACGGCCUAUCAGCUUGUUGGUGAGGUAACGGCUCACCAAGGCGACGACGGGUAGCCGGCCUGAGAGGGUGGCCGGCCACACUGGGACUGAGACACGGCCCAGACUCCUACGGGAGGCAGCAGUGGGGAAUAUUGCACAAUGGGCGCAAGCCUGAUGCAGCGACGCCGCGUGAGGGAUGACGGCCUUCGGGUUGUAAACCUCUGUUAGCAGGGAAGAAGAGAGAUUGACGGUACCUGCAGAGAAAGCGCCGGCUAACUACGUGCCAGCAGCCGCGGUAAUACGUAGGGCGCGAGCGUUGUCCGGAAUUAUUGGGCGUAAAGAGCUUGUAGGCGGUUUGUCGCGUCUGCUGUGAAGGCCGGAGCUUAACUCCGUGUAUUGCAGUGGGUACGGGCAGACUAGAGUGCAGUAGGGGAGACUGGAAUUCCUGGUGUAGCGGUGGAAUGCGCAGAUAUCAGGAGGAACACCGAUGGCGAAGGCAGGUCUCUGGGCUGUAACUGACGCUGAGAAGCGAAAGCAUGGGGAGCGAACAGGAUUAGAUACCCUGGUAGUCCAUGCCGUAAACGUUGGGCACUAGGUGUGGGGAACAUUCCACGUUUUCCGCGCCGUAGCUAACGCAUUAAGUGCCCCGCCUGGGGAGUACGGCCGCAAGGCUAAAACUCAAAGAAAUUGACGGGGGCCCGCACAAGCGGCGGAGCAUGCGGAUUAAUUCGAUGCAACGCGAAGAACCUUACCAAGGCUUGACAUAUACUGGACCGCAUCAGAGAUGGUGUUUCCCUUCGGGGCUGGUAUACAGGUGGUGCAUGGUUGUCGUCAGCUCGUGUCGUGAGAUGUUGGGUUAAGUCCCGCAACGAGCGCAACCCUCGUUCUAUGUUGCCAGCACGUUAUGGUGGGGACUCAUAGGAGACUGCCGGGGUCAACUCGGAGGAAGGUGGGGAUGACGUCAAAUCAUCAUGCCCCUUAUGUCUUGGGCUUCACGCAUGCUACAAUGGCCGGUACAGAGGGUUGCGAUACUGUGAGGUGGAGCUAAUCCCUAAAGGCCGGUCUCAGUUCGGAUUGGGGUCUGCAACUCGACCCCAUGAAGUCGGAGUCGCUAGUAAUCGCAGAUCAGCAACGCUGCGGUGAAUACGUUCCCGGGCCU
RNAcentral lists this ribosomal RNA (1347 nucleotides) under uncultured bacterium. RNAcentral's name for it is "bacterial SSU rRNA". It matches the Rfam family "Bacterial small subunit ribosomal RNA", at positions 28 to 1381 of the family's 1533-position model. The record is from RNAcentral.